GCCACAAGCCGAGGAAUGCAGAAGCCGGAAAAGAUUGGGAGUCCUCCUCUUGAUCCUACGGAGCAUUUUCUUCCUGAAGAAGAGAAACUUGCUGAACAAGAAAGAUCAAAAAGAUUUGAGAAGGUUUAUACUCAUAACCUAUAUUACCUGGCUCAAGUCUACCAGCACAUGGAAAUGUUUGAGAAGGCUGCCCAUUAUUGCCAUAGUACCCUAAAACGCCAGCUUGAGCACAAUGCCUACCAUCCUAUGGAGUGGGCUAUUAAUGCUGCUACCUUGUCACAAUUUUACAUCAAUAAGCAAUGCUUUAUGGAGGCCAGGCACUGUUUAUCAGCUGCUAAUGUCAUUUUUGGUCAAACUGGAAAGAUCCGAACCACAGAAGACACUACUGAAGCUGAAGGAGAUGUGCCAGAGCUUUAUCACCAAAGAAAAGGGGAAAUAGCAAGAUGCUGGAUCAAAUACUGUUUGACUCUCAUGCAGAAUGCCCAACUUUCCAUGCAGGACAACAUAGGGGAGCUUGAUCUUGAUAAACAAUCUGAACUUAGAGCUUUAAGGAAGAAAGAACUAGAUGAGGAAGAAAAUGUUAGGAAAAAAGCUGUACAGUUUGGAACCGGCGAACUGUGUGAUGCCAUCUCUGCAGUGGAAGAGAAAGUGAGCUAUUUGAGACCUUCAGAUUUUGAAGAAGCCAGAGAGCUUUUCUUAAUGGGUCAGCACUAUGUUUUUGAGGCAAAAGAGUUCUUUCAGAUUGAUGGUUAUGUCACUGACCAUAUUGAAGUUGUCCAGGACCACAGUGCUCUGUUUAAGGUGCUUGCAUUCUUUGAAACUGACAUGGAGAGAAGGUGCAAGAUGCAUAAACGCAGAAUAGCUAUGCUAGAGCCCCUAAUUGUGGACCUGAAUCCACAGUAUUAUUUGUUGGUCAACAGACAGAUUCAGUUUGAAGUUGCACAUGCUUAUUAUGAUAUGAUGGAUUUGAAGAUUGCCAUAGCUGACAAGCUGAGGGAUCCUGAUUCACACAUCGUGAAAAAAAUAAAUAGUCUUAAUAAGUCAGCAUUGAAGUACUACCAGCUCUUCUUAGACUCCCUGAGAGACCCAAAUAAAGUAUUUCCUGAGUAUAUAGGGGAAGAUGUUCUUCGCCCUGCCAUGUUAGCUAAGUUUCGAGUUGCCCGUCUCUAUGGCAAAAUCAUCACUGCAGAUCCCAAGAAAGAGCUAGAAAAUUUGGCAACAUCACUGGAACAUUACAAAUUUAUUGUUGAUUACUGUGAGAAGCACCCUGAAGCUGCCCAGGAAAUAGAAGUUGAACUAGAACUUAGCAAAGAGAUGGUCAGUCUUCUUCCAACAAAAAUGGAGAGGUUCAGAAACAAGAUGUCCCUGACUUAAUAAUCCUUGUUUUUAAUAACAAAAAAUGUGCACUAAUGGAUUUUUUUCCCCUUAUUCAAACAGGCCCAAUUCCAUUAUGAUGUCUACCUUCAUAGCCAGAUCAGUGCUGUUUGAACUUGAAAUAGACCAAUUGAGUUUUUGCUAGGACCUUAAUCAACAAUAAUUUAUACCUAACUAUGUAAAUAAAUUGCCUUGUUAAAGUGACAUGUGAUUGGUAUUUAGAUUGCUCGUUUCCUAUUUAAAUAUAAACCUUUUCUGCCUCAUUUUCUAAAAGUAGGUUCUUUGUUGGCUAAUACUUGAUGGAUUCAUUAAAAGGAAAAGUGCUGGGUAAUAUACCUGGUGGGCAAGCUGUUACUGUAUUAAAGUUGAAAAAAUAACUUCUUGUAGUUAUUCUUCCCAAAAUAUUUGCUUUCCUAAAUUCCCAAAGAAAUCUUUCCCUUCUGGAAUAUUAAAAAAACUAAGUUAUGUUGUAAAAUAUUGUAGUUUGUUUCAUUAUAGAGGAAGAAGGCCAUGUUGGAAAUAUAAUAAAUUGACUUGCUUCACUAAUAAAA
RNA transcript from Aethalodelphis obliquidens (Pacific white-sided dolphin), 1925 nucleotides. It is a transcript of the gene named KIF1-binding protein pseudogene, with no coding region annotated. The transcript has a single exon. The record is from RefSeq and is a predicted model, not a curated record. Lineage: Eukaryota; Metazoa; Chordata; Mammalia; Artiodactyla; Delphinidae.